This 190-nucleotide ribosomal RNA is filed under the name uncultured rumen bacterium. RNAcentral describes it as "partial 16S ribosomal RNA". It matches the Rfam family "Bacterial small subunit ribosomal RNA", at positions 338 to 525 of the family's 1533-position model. The record is from RNAcentral.
CCUACGGGAGGCAGCAGUGAGGAAUAUUGGACAAUGGCCGGAAGGCUGAUCCAGCCAUGCCGCGUGCGGGAAGACGGCCCUAUGGGUUGUAAACCGCUUUUGUUGGGGAGCAAUAAGGGCCACGCGUGGUCCGAUGAGAGUACCCAGCGAAUAAGCAUCGGCUAACUCCGUGCCAGCAGCCGCGGUAAUA